This 899-nucleotide ribosomal RNA is filed under the name uncultured bacterium. RNAcentral's name for it is "bacterial SSU rRNA". It matches the Rfam family "Bacterial small subunit ribosomal RNA", at positions 36 to 909 of the family's 1533-position model. The record is from RNAcentral.
CUGGCGGUAUGCUUAACACAUGCAAGUCGAACGGUAACAGGUCGCUGCGAUCCCUUCGGGGUGAACUUGACGCUGACGAGUGGCGGACGGGUGAGUAAUACUUAGGAAUCUACCCAGUAGUGGGGGACAACACGACGAAAGUCGUGCUAAUACCGCAUACGCCCUAAGGGGGAAAGUGGAGGAUCUUCGGACUUCACGCUAUUGGAUGAGCCUAAGCCGGAUUAGCUUGUUGGUGGGGUAACGGCCCACCAAGGCAACGAUCCGUAGCUGGUCUGAGAGGACGAUCAGCCACACUGGGACUGAGACACGGCCCAGACUCCUACGGGAGGCAGCAGUGGGGAAUAUUGGACAAUGGGCGCAAGCCUGAUCCAGCAAUACCGCGUGUGUGAAGAAGGCCUGCGGGUUGUAAAGCACUUUCAGUAGAGAAGAAAAGCUUAGGGUUAAUACCCCUGGGUCUUGACGUAACCUACAGAAGAAGCACCGGCUAACUCCGUGCCAGCAGCCGCGGUAAUACGGGGGGUGCAAGCGUUAAUCGGAAUUACUGGGCGUAAAGCGCGCGUAGGCGGUCUGGUCAGUCGGAUGUGAAAGCCCCGGGCUCAACCUGGGAAUUGCAUUCGAUACUGCCCGACUAGAAUAUGGAAGAGGGAAGUGGAAUUUCCGGUGUAGCGGUGAAAUGCGUAGAGAUCGGAAGGAACACCAGUGGCGAAGGCGGCUUCCUGGGUCCAAUAUUGACGCUGAGGUGCGAAAGCGUGGGGAGCGAACAGGAUUAGAUACCCUGGUAGUCCACGCCGUAAACGAUGAGAACUAGAUGUCGGAAGGGUUUAGCCUUUCGGUGUCGCAGCUAACGCGUUAAGUUCUCCGCCUGGGGAGUACGGUGGCAACACUAAAACUCAAAGGAA